Ictalurus punctatus (channel catfish) is the source of this 515-nucleotide long non-coding RNA. NCBI's taxonomy places the organism in Eukaryota, Metazoa, Chordata, Actinopteri, Siluriformes, Ictaluridae. The record is from Ensembl.
GUUACUACACUCAGAUUACUACACUCAGGUUACUACACUCAGGUUACUACACUCGGAUUACUACACUCGGAUUACUACACUCAGAUUACUACACUCAGAUUACUACACUCAGAUUACUACACUCAGAUUACUACACUCGGAUUACUACACUCGGGUUACUACACUCGGGUUACUACACUCGGGUUAGUACACUCGGGUUACUACACUCGGGUUACUACACUCGGGUUACUACACUCGGAUUACUACACUCAGAUUACUACACUCAGAUUAAUACACUCAGAUUACUACACUCGGGUUACUACACUCAGAUUACUACACUCAGAUUACUACACUCAGAUUCUACACUCGGGUUACUACACUCGGGUUAGUUCACUCGGGUUAGUUCACUCGGGUUAGUACACUCAGAUUACUACACUUUGUGAAUUAAAGCUGUAUUGACUUGUCUUAGUGCUAAACAAUAUACAUCUGUAACUGGUAUGCUACAAAUGAUCAAUAAUAAUCAUCUGAUUCAAAAC